GAUGAACGCUGGCGGCGUGCCUAAUACAUGCAAGUCGAGCGAACAAACGAGGAGCUUGCUCCUCUGACGUUGGCGGCGGGCGGGUGAGUAACACGUGGAUAACCGACCUAUAAGACUGGGAUAACUUAGGGAAACCGGAGCUAAUACAGGAUAAUAUAUUGAACCGGAUGGUUCAAUAGUGAAAGCCGGUUUUGCUGUCACUAAUAGAUGGAUCCGCGCCGGAUUAGCUAGUUGGCAAGGUAACGGCUUACCAAGGCAACGAUGCGUAGCCGACCUGAGAGGAUGAUCGGCCACACUGGAACUGAGACACGGUCCAGACUCCUACGGGAGGCAGCAGUAGGGAAUCUUCCGCAAUGGGCGAAAGCCUGACGGAGCAACGCCGCGUGAGUGAUGAAGGUCUUCGGAUCGUAAAACUCUGUUAUUAGGGAAGAACAAAUGUGUAAGUAACUCUGCACGUCUUGACGUUACCUAAUCAGAAAGCCACGGCUAACUACGUG
RNAcentral lists this ribosomal RNA (497 nucleotides) under uncultured bacterium. Its description in RNAcentral is "partial 16S ribosomal RNA". It matches the Rfam family "Bacterial small subunit ribosomal RNA", at positions 28 to 507 of the family's 1533-position model. The record is from RNAcentral.